This 374-nucleotide ribosomal RNA is filed under the name uncultured bacterium. Its description in RNAcentral is "bacterial SSU rRNA". It matches the Rfam family "Bacterial small subunit ribosomal RNA", at positions 524 to 898 of the family's 1533-position model. The record is from RNAcentral.
UACGUAGGACCCAAGCGUUGUCCGGAAUUACUGGGUAUAAAGGGUGCGCAGGCGGUCGAGUGCGUCAGAGGUGAAAUAUCCAUGCUUAACGUGGAGGGUGCCUUUGAUACGGCUUGACUUGAGUCCGAGAGAGGGUGAUGGAAUUCCUGGUGUAGCGGUGAAAUGCGUAGAUAUCAGGAGGAACACCGGUGGCGAAGGCGGUCACCUGGCUCGGCACUGACGCUCAGGCACGAAAGCGCGGGGAUCAAACAGGAUUAGAUACCCUGGUAGUCCGCGCCCUAAACGAUGUAUGCUUGGUGUUGGACCUUUCGGGGUUCAGUGCCGUAGGAAAUCUGGUAAGCAUACCACCUGGGGAGUACGAUCGCAAGGUUGAA